This 291-nucleotide unclassified non-coding RNA is filed under the name fungal sp. RNAcentral describes it as "partial internal transcribed spacer region". The stretch from base 1 to 46 matches the Rfam family "Eukaryotic small subunit ribosomal RNA", at positions 1786 to 1831 of the family's 1831-position model. Lineage: Eukaryota; Fungi. The record is from RNAcentral.
AAGUCGUAACAAGGUUUCCGUAGGUGAACCUGCGGAAGGAUCAUUAACACAAUUGUACUGUGAUAAAUUCCGUUGAAUUCUCACGAAUUCAAUGGCAUCCACCCCAUUAUUGACGAACUUUUAAGAUGUUAAAACUAAAAACGUAGAGCUAGUCUUUAUUUUUUUAACAUUCUAACCCUUUUCUAUACCCACACAUUUAAACCCCUUUUACAACAUGUCUUAGACUGAAAUGAAAAUUUUCUAUCAAAAAAUUGAUAAAAACAACUUUUAACAACGGAUAUCUUGGCUCUC